GCUGGUUAUGACAUUGAGCAUCAACCGCAAUUGCUUAGAGUGGGCUAUUCCAAUGAAAACCAUGAAGUUGAGAAAGAAGGAAAGUUUUUGAAGACUUCUUGCCCUGCGAGUCUUCCACGCGCCCCGAGACUUGCAAAUCCUACAGAAAGCAAUACCUAUUGACCCAAAAUAGGACUCCGACACUUGGCGUAAAAGGCAGCAAGAAUGCCAUUGUGAGUAAGAAUAAUACUCAUGACUAAACCUAGCCUAAGUUCUGCUUGACCCGGCCACCCCAGGCCUCUCCUUACCAAGCUGUUGUGCAUCGCCAGCUCCUCCUUCAGGUAAAGGACAUCUUUUUCCAGAUUUUUCACCAUUCUCUAAGCAAAAGGAGAAAAAAGACAGAUAGUGAGUAAACCAUAACCAAUCAACGAAUCCCAAGGCAAGUGGCAAAGAGCCCAUCAGAUAGAAACGUGUCGUAAGUAAGUUAGAAAGCUUUUAAAAGGCUAGUAAACAGGUUGAUGGUGAGCUUGCUUUGCAAAUGAUUGCCAGGGCAGCCCUUUCUGCACAGUCCAUGAACUAAGGUGUUUUCCACCCUCUAAACAUGUUUUUCAUCUUCUAAAACCUUUGUGUUAAUUGAUUACACCACACCAGGCACAAAUCUGUCCUUCUGGGGCACAACACAUGGACUACCUUUUAGAAUCAUACUAAUUUAGGCUACCGAGGCUUAUUUGGCAAGAGUUGUUCAGAGUCAUAUUCUUCCAGCCUCAAUAGAAGCCAGACUCUCUCUUAAAUAAUCAAUAAACAGAUCUAUCUAACUAUCUUAACAAAUUAUUUUGUUAAGAGCAAGUCAGGAGUGUUGUGGUUUAGCUAAGAAAAGAUGUUUGAUUGCUUUUAGGGUUUUAACUGUUUAUUUUGUAAUACUGCUCAUGUUUAAUUCGAUUUCAGUGUUUGCAUGUUUUGAUUGUAUUGUAUUGGUUAUAUGGUGGGUGGCUCUGAAUCUCUUUUUAGAGAGAAAAAGCAAGAUACAAACAAUAACAACAACAUAAUAGUAAUAGUAAUAUCUGACCAAGAAAACUGAUAGAUUUGCCUUACUGUCACUCACCACAAGUCAGAAGUGACUUAGGCCCCAUCUACACUGCCAUAUAAUCCAGUUUCAGAAUGCAAAUUAAUUACAUUGAACUGGAUUAUUUGACAUUAUAGACUAUGGCUCUUCUACACUGCCCUAUAUCCCAGGAUCUGAUCCCAGGUUACCUGUUUGUCCCAGAUGAUCUGGCAGUGGAGAUUCAUAUAAUCCAGUUUAAAGCAAAUAAUCUGGGAUCUGAUCCUGGGAUAUAAGGACAGUGUAGUAGGGGCCUUAUAUUAAUCAGUUCAGUGAGGUUCAAUUUGCAUUAUAUGAGUCUUCACUUACCAUUAUAAUGUAGUUCAAACUUGAUUAUGGCAAUGUAGAUGGGGAUCUUACAAGGCAUAUAAACAAUGAUAUGGCAGACAGAAGCCUGCCUUAUACUUAGACCCCUUCUACACUGCCCAAUAUCCCAAGAUAUGAUCCCAGAUUAUCUGCUUUAAACAGGAUAAUAUGAGUCUCCAUUGCUAGAUCAUCUGGGAUCAGAUCCUAGGAUACAGGAGCAAUGUGGAAAGGGCCCCAGACAAGCCAUCAAGCUGAGUAUUUCCAGCUAUGAUUGACAAUGUAGUUAUUUCAGGAUUUCAGGUAAAAAUCUUUCUCAGCCAGCCCUUCCUGGAAAUCCUUUUUUGUUUUCCCAUGCAAGUCUUAACUAGGUCCUGCCCAGCUUCCAAAAGCAGGCAACCGUUAGUUCCCAGCUGGUACAUCAGAUCUUCUUCUUUUUGCAAAAUGAGGUUGAUAACCCUCACGAAGCAUUUGCGGUCGACUUACUUUGCUC
Long non-coding RNA from Anolis carolinensis (green anole), 1874 nucleotides. RefSeq lists it as uncharacterized. The transcript is spliced from 3 exons. The record is from RefSeq and is a predicted model, not a curated record. Lineage: Eukaryota; Metazoa; Chordata; Lepidosauria; Squamata; Anolidae.